Molecule: long non-coding RNA, 2167 nt
Filed under: Homo sapiens (human)
Lineage: Eukaryota; Metazoa; Chordata; Mammalia; Primates; Hominidae
Description: non-protein coding LINC01869:21
Source: RNAcentral
ACACGGUGACGCAAGGGCCGGAAGGAGGGACCCUGUGUCUGGAGAAGCGGGAGAUGGGGGCCUGGACCCCUGGGUCUGAGGGAGGAGGGGCUGGGGUCGUGAUUCCCGUGUUUGGGAGAAAAGGGGGUUGGGAGCUGGGACUCCUGGGGCCGAGGGAGGCCUUUGGGGCUCCCACUCAGUUUUGACGGUCUAAGGCCUGGGGGCCUGGAUUCUUGGUAGGGUUGGAGAUCUCAGGAGUGUCUUUCCACUGAUAGGAUUAUACAUUCUUUCCACUUAUAUGAUUAUUUUGAAAAUUAAAAAAUGAAACUUCUCUACUCCAAACUCACUUUCUAGGAGUUUCACUGUCAACAAUUUGGUGUGGACUUUAUGUUUUCUUUUUUCAGAUGGAGUCUUGCUCUGUCGCCCAGGCUGGAGUCCAGUGGUGUGAUCUCAGCUCACUUCAUCCUCCGCUUCCCGAGUUCAAGCAAUUCUCGUGCCUCAGCCUCCCGAGUAGCUGGGAUUACAGGUGCCUAUCACCACGCCCAGCUAAUUUUUUUGCAUGUUUAGUAGAGACAGGGUUUCACCAUAUUGGCCAGGCUGGUCUCGAACUCCUGACCUCAAGUGAUCUGCCUGCCUCAAACCUCCCAAAGCACUGGGAUUACAGGUGUGAGCCACCACGCCUGGCCUGGUAUGGACUUUAUAUAUAUAUACACACACACACACACACACACACACACACAUAUUAUGGAUAAAGAUACUUUUUUCCACUCUAAUCUGUCCCAUAAGUUGUUUCCCCACAUGAGUACGUACAGAAUUAUCUCAUUCACUGAACAAUGGCAACGGGCUCCUUUGUGUGAAUUGAACACGCUUUGUUUAGCGGGUCCCUGGUCAUUUGGGUUGUUUUCUUCUUUCUAGUGAGGAGAUUCCUUUCAUGAACCUUGUGGUCUGGAGUAAAAGAAGAGACCUACAUUCCUCUCUUAAGACCCUGUACCUUUGCUCCUAAGCAUGAAGAUGGGCUUCUGACCAAGUCCUGCUAGAGGACACUGAAAGGGCAAGCCUUGGGCUUUAACCAGGCAAUGUUCUCAUCCAUAUGAGCAAGGGCUUCAUGUUACUGGCCGUGGCCCUGUGCUGAGUCCUCCUCCCGCCCAUGGCCCUCUCCUCCUGGCCAGUGGUCCUCCGCCUGAACAUGGCCGACUUUGUCUUCAGUUUCCUCUGCCUCGGCAUUGGGCUCCUGAUUUCUCUUCAGCCUGACGCUCUUUUCAGUUAACGGCAAGGCGGUGCACCCAAGUCCGGUGGUGUCCUACCUGGUGACCUCCUACCUGUGCUGGGACGCCAGCGACUUGAUGCUGCACUCCGGAGCCGUGUCCUACCUAAGCCCAGUGGGCAUGUGAAGCAGAGGGCAGCCCUUGAAUGCGCGGCGGCUGAGCUACCGCGGGUGGGCCGUGCAGCAGGGCGCAGCGAGGCGGACAUCCAAACAGCGGAACUCAGACGCUGACUCCGAGCGCACCCCGGGCCUUCCCAUUUCAUACACCCUCGAGGAUGAGACCCAAGCACCUCCAAGGAAUAGCACCCGAGGUCUUCAGGACACCGACCGGUAGCCAUGGCCAGAUGCCCGGCCAACCCCUUCAGCGUGGCCACGCCCUGGAUAUUCGACCUCCCCUGAGGCCCCACCCCCUGAUAUCAGGCCACGCCCUCCGAGGGGACCGGUGGCAAACUCCAGCCCUCGCUCUAGGGCCCGCCCUUUGCGGCUUUGUCCCUGCCCACUGGGUCCUCACAGUACCUCCACCCCAGAGGCCCAGCAUCCCCUCCCGUUCUGCAGACACUUGUCCAGCGUCCCGCUGAGCUCGGCAGUGUGGCUAGUUUGUGUGGCCCUGCCCCUGGUGCCCAGCCAGGGUGGUCUGCAUGGAACUUCUUUCCCGGAGUUCCGGCCUCAGCUCCGAUGUCCACCCUUGUCCCCAGGUGGACACAGCACCGCCCAGCAUUUGGUGCAACUCCACCCUUCUGCAGAACGGGCCCCUCCCUGGGAAGGCAUGGCUUGCAAUAACAUCCCUCUGUACCUUUUCUGGCUUCCCCGCCACAAUAAAACCUCUCAGCCUCAGACCUUCCAUUGCCCCCCACCUCCCCACCAGGGCAGGGUCCAUCCUAGUGUGAGUGAACUGUUCUGGCGUCCCUGACUUGCCCUUUGGGA